This 479-nucleotide long non-coding RNA is filed under the name Homo sapiens (human). RNAcentral's name for it is "PREDICTED lncRNA (TCONS_00175167)". The record is from RNAcentral. Lineage: Eukaryota; Metazoa; Chordata; Mammalia; Primates; Hominidae.
GGCUUCUCUGGGGGCGCCCCAGACCCUUGCGGACCCUGAGUGCCCACUCUGGUGGCGCGGCCUGCAGAGGCCCCCAGCCGAUGGCCACAUGCCCGGCCGUCCAUCCACAGGUGCCUGGGUCUGGGCCGCGUGUCCGAUCCCACCCCAACCAGGUCUUCCUGUGGAGGGCCUGCCUUCGAGGACGAACCUGACCCCCUGGGGGACCCCACAGCCUUCACUUCCCACCCCUACGCUCUCCACAGCUGACGCACUCCCUGCGGCUUCCCUGCACCACCCCGGGGAACGGAGGCCUUUGGGUUCCAGACUUGCAGACAUGGUGAUUUGGGGCCCUGGGAUGGUACCACGAGGCUGGAGUCCAAAAGCGCUUGUCCUGGCCCUCGCACCCACUCGCCUGCGUGCUUCCCCUCCCACAAGGAGUUAGAGCGUGGUGCCAGGUAAGCAAGCCACACCCCUAUCACAAGUCCAGCAAAAGGCUCCAG